Molecule: non-coding RNA, 109 nt
Filed under: Duganella sp. Leaf126
Lineage: Bacteria; Pseudomonadati; Pseudomonadota; Betaproteobacteria; Burkholderiales; Oxalobacteraceae
Also listed under: 1 other name
Description: TPP riboswitch aptamer (THI element)
Rfam family: TPP riboswitch aptamer (THI element)
About the family: Vitamin B(1) in its active form thiamin pyrophosphate (TPP) is an essential coenzyme that is synthesised by coupling of pyrimidine and thiazole moieties in bacteria.
Source: Rfam by way of RNAcentral
UGCACACGCUAGGGGUCCUGCGCACGGCAUACAGCUGCGGCGCGGGUGAGAAAUACCCUCCGAACCUGAUCUGGAUAAUGCCAGCGAAGGGAAGCUCAGGAUUGCGCCG